AGAGACAGCAGUCGCCGCGUAAUACGGAGGGCGCGAGCGUUACCCGGAUUUACUGGGCGUAAAGGGCGUGUAGGCGGCCUGGGGCGUCCCAUGUGAAAGGCCACGGCUCAACCGUGGAGGAGCGUGGGAUACGCUCAGGCUAGAGGGUGGGAGAGGGUGGUGGAAUUCCCGGAGUAGCGGUGAAAUGCGCAGAUACCGGGAGGAACGCCGAUGGCGAAGGCAGCCACCUGGUCCACUUCUGACGCUGAGGCGCGAAAGCGUGGGGAGCAAACCGGAUUAGAUACCCCAGUAGUCCCUGUCUCUUAUACA
Molecule: ribosomal RNA, 309 nt
Filed under: uncultured bacterium
Lineage: Bacteria
Description: partial 16S ribosomal RNA
Rfam family: Bacterial small subunit ribosomal RNA
Source: RNAcentral